RNAcentral lists this ribosomal RNA (648 nucleotides) under Triticum aestivum (bread wheat). Its description in RNAcentral is "partial small subunit ribosomal RNA". The record is from RNAcentral. Lineage: Eukaryota; Viridiplantae; Streptophyta; Magnoliopsida; Poales; Poaceae.
AUGGCGGCCACCGUCGGCAAGGAGAGGGAGGAGGCGGUGGUCCACCCGAACGCGAGGCAGGGGGGCAAGCUCCUCUCCAGGCUGCUCACCAGGGACAGCUCGGCCGCCGCGCCGUCCUUCCGGGUCUACUACGGCGUGGCCUCCGCCGGCGCGGUGCCGUUCCUGUGGGAGUCGCAGCCGGGCACGCCCAAGAACGCCGUCUCCGACGCCGCGAUGCCGCCGCUCACGCCGCCGCCGUCCUACUACGCCGCUGGAGGCACCGCCGCCGCGAAGAAGCACGCGGCGCGCAAGGCCGCCGCCGGGGGCAAGAGGUUCAGGCCGUCCCGCAUCCUGGGCUCCAUCCUCAUGGCGACGCGGAGGCGGGGCCGGACGGCGCCCUCGUCGGUAUCGCCCACCUCAUCCUUCUCCUCCGGGUCGUCCUCGUCCUCCUCGACGUCGUCCUUCCGCCGCGCGGGCGGCAGCAGCAGCAGGCUGCACUCGUCGUCGUCGUCGUCGUUCUCGGACGACGAGGAGACGGCCAUGGCGACGUGCUUCAGGGUGCGGCAGGAGAGCUUUCGGGCGCUCAAGGGCUGCCGCGUCGCCGUGACGGUGAGGAGCGCGCUGGCGUCCGUCGGCGGCGGCCACGGCGCCGCAGUGCAGAGGGUCUAA